GACGGGGGCCCGCACAAGCGGUGGAGCAUGUGGUUUAAUUAGAAGCAACGCGAAGAACCUUACCAGGUCUUGACAUCCUCUGACAAUCCUAGAGAUAGGACGUCCCCUUCGGGGGCAGAGUGACAGGUGGUGCAUGGUUGUCGUCAGCUCGUGUCCUGAGAUGUUGGGUUAAGUCCCGCAACGAGCGCAACCCUUGAUGUUAGUUGCCAGCAUUCAGUUGGGCACUAUAAGGUGACUGCCGGUGACAAACCGGAGGAAGGUGGGGAUGACGUCAAAUCAUCAUGCCCCUUAUGACCUGGGCUACACACGUGUUACAAUGGACAGAACAAAGGGCAGCGAAACCGCGAGGUUAAGCCAAUCCCACAAAUCUGUUUUCAGUUCGGAUCGCAGUCUGCAACUCGACUGCGUGAAGCUGGAAUCGAUAGUAAUCGCGGAUCAGCAUGCCGCGGUGAAUACGUUUCCGGGCCUUGUACACACCGCCCGUCACACCACGAGAGUUUGUAACACCCGAAGUCGGUGAGGUAACCUUUUGAGCAUUC
RNAcentral lists this ribosomal RNA (539 nucleotides) under Bacillus subtilis. RNAcentral describes it as "bacterial SSU rRNA". It matches the Rfam family "Bacterial small subunit ribosomal RNA", at positions 912 to 1453 of the family's 1533-position model. Lineage: Bacteria; Bacillati; Bacillota; Bacilli; Caryophanales; Bacillaceae. The record is from RNAcentral.